CUGGAGUCCCCCCACACGGGGCUGGACCGGCUCGGAUUCCAGCGAGAACAGGGGGCGCCGGAUUCGGGCCCUCUGGGCUUUAUUCUCAGAUGGGCUUCUGUGUGAUCGGCUGUGAUUCCAGCUGCUCCCAUGGGAUUCUAAUGAAGUGUCAGGUGAUGAGCGUGACAGAAAAUAAUGGGAAAACAUUUGGGAUCAGGCAGUGUCCCUAAGAGCUGGCAGUACCCAGCAUUUCUGGCUGGAAUUUGGGGAUUCCAGCAGAGUCUUUUCAUAGUGUUCCUGUGGACCUGGUACUGCCCAACAUUCCUGGCUGGAAUUUGGAGGUGACAUCCCCCACUUCCAUAGUGUUCCUGUGUCUCUGGCACUGCUUACCAUCCCUGCCCAGGGUUUGGAGAUUCCAACACAGCGCCCCCAGCACAUCCCACUGCUUCCUCAAGUUCCCUUUAACCAGGAUCAUUUUUUGGGGUGGGGGCAUCCAAACCCAGCAGUAUUUGCUUUAGCCAGUUUUGGGGGAUCUCCCUUCUCCCCUCCUCACUGAAUUCCCACUGCCAAAUCCCAGCCUGAGGCUCAGCUCUCCGUCCCCUCGAUCCCUCUGAGGAACUGGACUUGGAUUUCCCAAUCCAGCAGGGCAGAAAUGCUGUUUCUUCUCACUGUGUAUCUUGAUUGCAGUAACUGCUUAUGAAAUAAUUCAAAGAAAUUCAGAGAACGAAGAGACAAUAAGGAAGAGCUGCCAGCUCCAGCCAAGGGCUGCUCAACCCCCUUCUCAAUGAUUUGCUUUAAUUAACCAAUGCAAAUGAACCAAUACAAAUCACAUUGAUAUGGUUUUAUUCUUUUUAAUCAAAUUAUAAAUACUGCAGAAUAGAAAACACUUUUAACACCAAAACUCUUCUAGGAGAUACGCAGGGCAGGGCUGCACUGCACCCCCAAAUUGGGAAAAUUGGGACAACCGGGAGAAAAGAAUCCAGACUGACAUUCCUGGGAGAUUGGUGCAGCUUCUGCCAGCCAGAACAAUUCUUGGUCUGAGCACACACCUGCAGGAUAUCAUCAACAGCCUCCUGGGCCUUUUCAUUCAAAGCAGAUUUCCACAGAGAAUUAAUGAAAUACAGAAAAUUAAAUGGAAACAGAAAGGAGCAGCACCCUCAGGAGAGCAGACAGCAGCAUCCAAAAGAAAAUGAACAGAAAGAUUAGGGAUUGGGACCAUCUCAAAUUCCCCUUGUGAGAUACCACAGGCUUUGCUCUGUAAUUCACCACCUCUCUUGGUGGACAAACCCUUCAGCUUUGCUUCCAAUUUAUCGAGUUCCCAACUGUGACGAUCGAGAUUCUCUGCGCCGUGUCCACGGCGGGAUCCAGCGAGACACGCAGGGAAUUCCCAUGGGAACGCUGUCCAGGAAGCUCCCGGCCCUGCCCUG
Long non-coding RNA from Passer domesticus (house sparrow), 1406 nucleotides. RefSeq lists it as uncharacterized. Lineage: Eukaryota; Metazoa; Chordata; Aves; Passeriformes; Passeridae. The transcript has 2 exons. The record is from RefSeq and is a predicted model, not a curated record.